GACAAAUUUUGCUGUUGUUCCUUUUCCUCACCCGGAUCCUUACUAUCACGAUCUAGUUGCUGCCUAUGGAAAUCCAACCUUGGUUCAAUCCCAAAUGUUAGGCACGGUUGCUCCUCGGGUGCCACUUCCACUUGACCUUAAGCAAGAUGAGCCUAUAUUUGUCAAUGCUAAACAAUAUCAGGCUAUCCUCAGGCGUAGACAAUACCGUGCUAG
This 213-nucleotide unclassified non-coding RNA is filed under the name Hevea brasiliensis (rubber tree). Lineage: Eukaryota; Viridiplantae; Streptophyta; Magnoliopsida; Malpighiales; Euphorbiaceae. The record is from RNAcentral.